This 253-nucleotide ribosomal RNA is filed under the name uncultured bacterium. RNAcentral's name for it is "partial 16S ribosomal RNA". It matches the Rfam family "Bacterial small subunit ribosomal RNA", at positions 524 to 776 of the family's 1533-position model. The record is from RNAcentral.
UACGGUGGGUGCAAGCAUUAAUCGGAUUUAUUGGGCGUAAAGGGCGCGUGGGCGGGAAGAUAAGUCAGAUGUGAAAUCCCGAGGCUCAACCUCGGAACAGCAUUUGAAACUAUCUUUCUAGAGGAUAGGCGGAGAAAACGGAAUUCCACAAGUAGCGGUGAAAUGCGUAGAUAUGUGGAAGAACACCGGUGGCGAAGGCGGUUUUCUAGCUUAGACCUGACGCUGAGGCGCGAAAGCAAGGGGAUCAAACAGG